This 263-nucleotide long non-coding RNA is filed under the name Pan troglodytes (chimpanzee). RNAcentral describes it as "long non-coding RNA NONPTRT016271". The record is from RNAcentral. Lineage: Eukaryota; Metazoa; Chordata; Mammalia; Primates; Hominidae.
AGGCAGAAGUGGAACCACUGAGCUAAAACCUUUAGCAGGUGUGGCCGGCCUGAAUACAGAGAUGGGGGUGGUUUGAGUAAAACCACCACCACUCCCUGCCCUCGCCCACGCCAUCCAGGUGUUUCCAGGGACAACAGGAGGCUUUGCCCACCGGUUGAGUUCAGACAGAGGCAAAACCACUGGGCUGGAAACUCUGGCAAGCGUUCACAGCCUGACUACCAGCGACGUGAGUGGGCCCCCCCUCCCUGCCGUCUGGGGCUUCU